AGAACGAACGCUGGCGGCAGGCUUAACACAUGCAAGUCGAACGCGUGUAGCAAUACACGAGCGGCGAACGGGUGAGUAACACGUGAGCAAUCUGCCCUCCACAUCGGGAUAACCCCCGGAAACGGGAGCUAAUACCGGAUACGACCACUUCAGGCA
RNAcentral lists this ribosomal RNA (156 nucleotides) under uncultured bacterium. RNAcentral's name for it is "partial small subunit ribosomal RNA". It matches the Rfam family "Bacterial small subunit ribosomal RNA", at positions 26 to 190 of the family's 1533-position model. The record is from RNAcentral.